This 253-nucleotide ribosomal RNA is filed under the name uncultured bacterium. RNAcentral's name for it is "partial 16S ribosomal RNA". It matches the Rfam family "Bacterial small subunit ribosomal RNA", at positions 524 to 776 of the family's 1533-position model. The record is from RNAcentral.
UACGAAGGGUGCUAGCGUUGUUCGGAAUCACUGGGCGUAAAGCGCGCGUAGGCUGUUUUGCAAGUCAGAGGUGAAAUCCUGGAGCUCAACUCCAGAACUGCCUUUGAAACUGCAAGACUUGAGUGUCGGAGGGGAUAGCGGAAUUGCUAAUGUAGAGGUGAAAUUCGUAGAUAUUAGCAGGAACACCGGUGGCGAAGGCGGCUAUCUGGACGACAACUGACGCUGAGGCGCGAAAGCGUGGGGAUCAAACAGG